Molecule: ribosomal RNA, 424 nt
Filed under: uncultured bacterium
Lineage: Bacteria
Description: bacterial SSU rRNA
Rfam family: Bacterial small subunit ribosomal RNA
Source: RNAcentral
CGAGAAUUUUUCUCAAUGGGGGCAACCCUGAAGGAGCGACGCCGCGUGGAGGAUGAAGGCUUUCGGGUUGUAAACUCCUGUCAUUUGAGAACAAUGGCUCCGCGUUAACUGCGCGGAGCUUGAUAGUAUCAGAAGAGGAAGGGACGGCUAACUCUGUGCCAGCAGCCGCGGUAAUACAGAGGUCCCGAGCGUUGUUCGGAUUCAUUGGGCGUAAAGGGUGCGUAGGCGGCGCCGUAAGUGGGGUGUGAAAUCCCGGGGCUUAACCCCGGGACUGCAUUCCAUACUGCGGUGCUUGAGGACUGGAGAGGAGACUGGAAUCUACGGUGUAGCAGUGAAAUGCGUAGAGAUCGUAAGGAAGACCAGUGGCGAAGGCGGGUCUCUGGACAGUUCCUGACACUGAGGCACGAAGGCCAGGGGAGCAAAC